AUAAGUUCAAAAAAAUAAAAAUAAAUUCGACACCAGACCAUUUGGGACACGAUAUUUGCAUAUAAUUUGUAUUAUUCAUAUUUAAAAAGAUGCAAAACCAGUAUAAAAAAGGAUUGAAUAAAAUAAUUUUAAAAAUAUCAACCCCCGACCAUUGACUUUAAUGUAGGAGGGACUAAAAGCAGUCCUUGAGUACAAUAACAUCAUUUAAAUAAUGUAACAAAAAGAAAAACUCAAAUAGAACAAUUUAGUUCAGACGGCUUGGAUUUUCCCAUCGCGUGUUAAUUUCAUAUAAAAGGUGGAAGAUCACAACAGAAGUUAUCAGUUGUACAUUUCAAGUCGCAACAAACACACUGCUUCAAAGAUGAAAUACUUAGGACUUUUGUUGAUGAUUGUCUUCACAAUCCUCGUGUUCCAAGAUGUAGCUUUCGCUUGCAUCAAGAAUCGCGACGGUUGUCAGCCAGACGGAAGCCAAGGAAACUGUUGCUCUGGAUAUUGCCAUAAGGAACCAGGUUGGGUUGCCGGUUAUUGUAGAUAGAUUGAUCAAAAUGUCGAUCGAUAUCUUUAAUCCGAAAUGCAAUUGAAAUAAAUGUUUUCAUUACA
Molecule: long non-coding RNA, 600 nt
Organism: Aethina tumida (small hive beetle)
Lineage: Eukaryota; Metazoa; Arthropoda; Insecta; Coleoptera; Nitidulidae
Exons: 2
Source: RefSeq, a predicted model, not a curated record